This 440-nucleotide ribosomal RNA is filed under the name uncultured bacterium. RNAcentral describes it as "bacterial SSU rRNA". It matches the Rfam family "Bacterial small subunit ribosomal RNA", at positions 338 to 770 of the family's 1533-position model. The record is from RNAcentral.
CCUACGGGAGGCUGCAGUAGGGAAUCUUCCGCAAUGGACGCAAGUCUGACGGAGCAACGCCGCGUGAGUGAAGAAGGUUUUCGGAUCGUAAAACUCUGUUGUUAGAGAAGAACAAGUGCUAGAGUAACUGUUAGCGCCUUGACGGUAUCUAACCAGAAAGCCACGGCUAACUACGUGCCAGCAGCCGCGGUAAUACGUAGGUGGCAAGCGUUGUCCGGAUUUAUUGGGCGUAAAGCGAGCGCAGGCGGUUCCUUAAGUCUGAUGUGAAAGCCCCCGGCUCAACCGGGGAGGGUCAUUGGAAACUGGGGAACUUGAGUGCAGAAGAGGAGAGUGGAAUUCCAUGUGUAGCGGUGAAAUGCGUAGAUAUAUGGAGGAACACCAGUGGCGAAGGCGACUCUCUGGUCUGUAACUGACGCUGAGGCUCGAAAGCGUGGGUAGCA